RNAcentral lists this small RNA (135 nucleotides) under Cedecea neteri. Its description in RNAcentral is "RtT sRNA". It matches the Rfam family "RtT RNA". Rfam says of the family: This family represents a bacterial cis-regulatory element known as RtT RNA. The exact function of RtT is unknown although it is thought that it may be involved in changing the cellular response in relation to amino acid starvation. The record is from RNAcentral. Lineage: Bacteria; Pseudomonadati; Pseudomonadota; Gammaproteobacteria; Enterobacterales; Enterobacteriaceae.
GCUAUGCGUAAUUCGGCAGGAUGAAAACCUGCUGCAGGUUCGACAAAAUUGUCGGGAACAAUUUUGCAUCGCCGCUUGCGGUGACCCGAAGGGCGAGUCUCAGGAUGAGACGAGUGUAUCCUGCACGACCCACCA